AGAGUUUGAUCCUGGCUCAGGACGGACGCUGGCGGCGUGCUUAACACAUGCAAGUCGAACGGAAAGGCCCUUCGGGGUACUCGAGUGGCGAACGGGUGAGUAACACGUGGGUGAUCUGCCCUGCACUUUGGGAUAAGCCUGGGAAACUGGGUCUAAUACCGAAUAGGACCACGCGCUUCAUGGUGUGUGGUGGAAAGCUUUUGCGGUGUGGGAUGGGCCCGCGGCCUAUCAGCUUGUUGGUGGGGUAAUGGCCUACCAAGGCGACGACGGGUAGCCGGCCUGAGAGGGUGACCGGCCACACUGGGACUGAGAUACGGCCCAGACUCCUACGGGAGGCAGCAGUGGGGAAUAUUGCACAAUGGGCGCAAGCCUGAUGCAGCGACGCCGCGUGAGGGAUGACGGCCUUCGGGUUGUAAACCUCUUUCAAUAGGGACGAAGCGCAAGUGACGGUACCUAUAGAAGAAGCACCGGCCAACUACGUGCCAGCAGCCGCGGUAAUACGUAGGGUGCGAGCGUUGUCCGGAAUUACUGGGCGUAAAGAGCUCGUAGGUGGUUUGUCGCGUUGUUCGUGAAAACUCACAGCUUAACUGUGGGCGUGCGGGCGAUACGGGCAGACUAGAGUACUGCAGGGGAGACUGGAAUUCCUGGUGUAGCGGUGGAAUGCGCAGAUAUCAGGAGGAACACCGGUGGCGAAGGCGGGUCUCUGGGCAGUAACUGACGCUGAGGAGCGAAAGCGUGGGGAGCGAACAGGAUUAGAUACCCUGGUAGUCCAA
This 773-nucleotide ribosomal RNA is filed under the name uncultured bacterium. RNAcentral's name for it is "bacterial SSU rRNA". It matches the Rfam family "Bacterial small subunit ribosomal RNA", at positions 8 to 798 of the family's 1533-position model. The record is from RNAcentral.